RNA transcript from Macrobrachium nipponense, 2321 nucleotides. It is a transcript of the gene named NADH-ubiquinone oxidoreductase chain 1-like, with no coding region annotated. Lineage: Eukaryota; Metazoa; Arthropoda; Malacostraca; Decapoda; Palaemonidae. The transcript has a single exon. The record is from RefSeq and is a predicted model, not a curated record.
CUGAGGCACUACUUAAAAAUUAAGUGUUAUUAUUUUAUAUUGGUUUGGGGUUAAAUUUUAUAAAAAAUUAAUAAGUUUUGUUUCUUAGUAUGAUGGAGAAUUUUGUUUAGAGAUUAUAGUUAAUAAGUACAGUGAUGGAAUUAUUUAAUAUUUUAUUAAAGUAGUGUUGGAUUUUCGUACCUUUUGUAUCAGGGGUCUACUAUAUAGUUGCGUUAUUUGUAAAUUCCCGAAACAGAGAGAGCUAAAUUUUAUUGCUUUUCUACGUUAUAAAGUAGUUUGAAAAAGUUUUUAGUGGUGAUAUGUUAGUCGGUCUUUGUAUAUCUGGUUCUUUACGAAAUGAGUUUAAUUUUGUACCAAGUUUAACUGUAAUUUGGUAAUAAAGGUAGGAGGAAUGAGCUUCUUAUCUGUUGUUUUUGUUAAGUACUUUUAUUGUAAGUCAUUAGAAGUGGGCUUAAAGUCAGCCAUCUUGGUAUAACGUUAAAGUAAUAAUGAUUUGUAUUUAUAUUUUUAAAGUAUCUUGCUGUUUUUAGUAAAGAAUUUCGUUUAUUGUUUAAGCGAAAGAUAGAAUGUUUAUAUAAGUAAAAUUAGAGUUUUUUUUUAAUCUUAAAUAAAAUAAAGUUUUUAAGUAUUAGAAGGCGUUUAGAAGGAACUCGGCAAAUAUUAUCUCCGCCUGUUUAUCAAAAACAUGUCUGUGUGUAUAAGUUAUAAAGUCUAGCCUGCCCACUGAUUGAUUUAAAGGGCCGCGGUAAUUUGACCGUGCGAAGGUAGCAUAGUCAGUAGUCUUUUAAUUGAAGGCUUGAAUGAAAGGUUGGACGAGGGAUGAGCUGUCUCCUUUAUGUAAUUUGAAUUUAACUUUUGAGUGAAAAGGCUCAAAUUAUUUAGUGGGACGAUAAGACCCUAUAAAACUUUAUAUAAGUUUAAUUUGGCUUACAAUUUGAGUGAAAAGUAGCUUUAUUAGGCUUAUAUUUCGUUGGGGAGAUGUAGAUAUAAUGUGUAACUGUCUAUUUAAUUUAAUAAUUAUAAUUAGUGUGUGAUCCUUCUUUGUGGAUUAAAAGUAUAAGUUACUUUAGGGAUAACAGCGUGAUUUUCUUUGAGAGUUCUUAUCGACAAGAGUAGUUGCGACCUCGAUGUUGAAUUAAAAUUUCAGUUAGGGGUGUAGCCGUCUAGCUGGUAGGUCUGUUCGACCUUUAAAAUUUUUACAUGAUUUGAGUUCAAACCGGUGUGAGCCAGGUUGGUUUCUAUCUUUUAUUAAUUUGAAAAUGGCUUUAGUACGAAAGGAUUGAGCUUUUGAGAUAGUCUUAUUUUAAGAUAAACUUUAAUGGAUUACCUUGGCAGAUAAAUGUGUCGGAUUUAGGAUCCGUUAAUAUAGUGAUUACUAUAGGUAAUAGGGAGAAUUCAAGUGUUCUUUCUAUGAUGAUUUUGAUUAAGUUGGUGACUUAUCUUAUUUUGAUUAUUUUAGUUUUGGUUUCUGUUGCCUUUUUUACCUUGUUGGAACGUAAAGUUUUAGGUUAUAUUCAAAUUCGUAAGGGUCCUAACAAGGUUGGAUAUGCUGGUUUACUUCAGCCUUUUGCUGACGCUGUGAAGUUAUUUACUAAAGAGCAGACUUUUCCUGCUAUAAGUAACUUUAUUCCUUAUUAUUUAUCUCCGGUUUUCGUUUUUUAGUUUAUCAUUGCUCUCGGUUUUUUGUUUAUGUCGUAUACCUUAUGAGCUUGGUUUGUUUUCUUUCGAGUUUGGGGUUUUAUUUUUUCUUUGCUGUACAAGGGCAAGAGUUUAUUCUACCAUGGGUGCAGGUUGAGCUUCCAAUUCUAAGUAUUCUCUUUUAGGGUGUCUUCGUGCUGUAGCUCAAACUAUUUCUUAUGAGGUAAGGUUGGCUUUAAUUUUACUUAGAAUAUUGUUUUUAGUAGGUGGGUUUGAUUUGGGAUUAUUUGAAAGCUAUCAGCGUUAUUGUUGAUUUUUUAUUUUGGGUUUUCCUUUGGCUUUACUGUGGUUUGCUUCCUGUUUAGCGGAAAGAAAUCGAACUCCAUUUGAUUUUGCAGAAGGAGAGUCUGAGUUGGUGUCUGGUUUUAAUACUGAAUAUAGAGGUGGGGGAUUUGCUCUUAUUUUUAUGGCGGAAUACGCUAGGAUUUUAUUUUUAAGUGCAUUAUUUUCAAUCAUUUUUUUAGGGAGAUGCCUUGUUUCUGUUGUUUUUUAUGUAAAAGUUAUGUUCGUGGGCUUCUGUUUUGUGUGAGUACGGGGCACUUUACCACGAUUCCGUUAUGAUAAGUUAAUGUAUUUGGCCUGGAAAAGAUUUCUUCCUGCGGCUUUAAAUUAUUGUAUUUUUU